CAUGCACCAGUGGGGUCCCUCGGCCUGGCCUACAGAAAUCGUGCCGAAACUGGCAGUCCAGCAUCCACCGAGGGGCCCCGGAUUGCGAGAGGGUGCAGGCCAGGCUGAGGGACCCCACUGGUGCACA
This 127-nucleotide microRNA precursor is filed under the name Myotis lucifugus (little brown bat). RNAcentral describes it as "mir-9193 microRNA precursor family". The record is from Rfam by way of RNAcentral. Lineage: Eukaryota; Metazoa; Chordata; Mammalia; Chiroptera; Vespertilionidae.